CAGCCAUGCCGCGUGCAGGAAGACGGCCCUAUGGAUUGUAAACUGCUUUUAUACGGGAAGAAACACUCCGACGUGUCGGAACUUGACGGUACCGUAAGAAUAAGGAUCGGCUAACUCCGUGCCAGCAGCCGCGGUAAUACGGAGGAUCCAAGCGUUAUCCGGAAUCAUUGGGUUUAAAGGGUCCGUAGGCGGCCUUAUAAGUCAGUGGUGAAAUCUCCUAGCUCAACUAGGAAACUGCCAUUGAUACUGUAGGGCUUGAAUUUUUGUGAAGUAACUAGAAUAUGUAGUGUAGCGGUGAAAUGCUUAGAUAUUACAUGGAAUACCAAUUGCGAAGGCAGGUUACUAACAAACGAUUGACGCUGAUGGACGAAAGCGUGGGGAGCGAACAGGAUUAGAUACCCUGGUAGUCCACGCCGUAAACGAUGGAUACUAGCUGUUCGGAUUUAUCUGAUUGGCUAAGCGAAAGUGAUAAGUAUCCCACCUGGGGAGUACGAACGCAAGUUUGAAACUCACAGGAAUUGACAGAG
This 527-nucleotide ribosomal RNA is filed under the name uncultured bacterium. Its description in RNAcentral is "bacterial SSU rRNA". It matches the Rfam family "Bacterial small subunit ribosomal RNA", at positions 389 to 918 of the family's 1533-position model. The record is from RNAcentral.